This is a long non-coding RNA of Oreochromis niloticus (Nile tilapia), 672 nucleotides long. RefSeq lists it as uncharacterized. Lineage: Eukaryota; Metazoa; Chordata; Actinopteri; Cichliformes; Cichlidae. The transcript has 2 exons. The record is from RefSeq and is a predicted model, not a curated record.
AAUAGAAGCAUAGGUGGGAAUAAAAACAAUACCUUCUCACCAAAACUCAUCUGUUAUGAAUUUGUAUAGUGCAGAUGGAGCGCUGCUGCCUUCAACAUUGUCAGGUGGUGGAAGGAAUAUAUUAUAUUAUAUUGGAAUAUUAUCAGUCAUGGAUUGGCCUCCCCAGAGCCCAGACCUCUGAAAUGUUGAAGCAGUGUGUGAUCAUCUUGACAGAGGAUGCAAGAAAAGGCAACAACAUCCAAAGAAGAGUUUACUGGAGAAAUAUUCCUGAACACUGCUUAAAGAAAUGAUGUUUUUCCAAACAAAAUAUAAAGCGGUAAAGUUUUAAAAGAGAAUAAAGCACAUCAGUGACAAGCAAGCUCCUAGAAGACUUCACACAAACAGAAUUCAUACUCAGUUGGGAUUAAAGACAUUCCUAAGACAUUCCGAAGUUUGGGAAAGACUGGAUUAGCACACAGAGUUAAAGGAUUAUGUAGAAGGACUGCCUUAAAAAAUUCUUUAGAUGUUUUCAGAGUUUUUACCACCACAAAACUGGACUGUCACAGGGUUAAUGUAUGGCUCCAAUUAGCAGCUUAUGUAAAGGCGAAGCUGCUUCAACAUCCUCCUUUCAUUGACUCACACUGUAGAAACCAUUAAAAAAACAUGCCACAGAGAAAAGACUUGAUCUGAGAA